UGCUGAGGUAGUCUAGCGGUAGGGCGCAGGCCUGGAAAGCCUGUGGUGCGAAAGUGCCUCGGGGGUUCAAUUCCCCCCCUCAGCGUCC
Molecule: transfer RNA, 88 nt
Filed under: Methanoregula sp. SKADARSKE-2
Lineage: Archaea; Methanobacteriati; Methanobacteriota; Methanomicrobia; Methanomicrobiales; Methanoregulaceae
Description: tRNA-Ser
Rfam family: tRNA
About the family: Transfer RNA (tRNA) molecules are approximately 80 nucleotides in length.
Source: RNAcentral